ACUACGGGAGGCAGCAGUGAGGAAUAUUGGUCAAUGGGCGGGAGCCUGAACCAGCCAAGUCGCGUGAGGGAAGACGGUCCUAUGGAUUGUAAACCUCUUUAGGCGGGGAGCAAUGCCGGGCACGCGUGCCCGGAGGGAGAGUACCCGCAGAAUAAGCAUCGGCUAACUCCGUGCCAGCAGCCGCGGUAAUACGGAGGAUGCGAGUGUUAUCAGGAUGUAUUGGGUUUAAAGGGUGCGUAGGGUGAUUUUUAAGUCAGCGGUAAAAGGUCGGGGCUCAACCCGGGCCGGCCGUUGAAGCUGGGGAUCUUGAGUGGGCGAGAAGUAUGCGGAAUGCGUGGUGUAGCGGUGAAAUGCAUAGAUAUCACGAAGAACUCCGAUUGCGAAGGCAGUUCACUGGACUGCAACUGACACUGAGGCUCGAAAGUGUGGGUAUCAAACAGGAUUAGAUACCCCAGUAGUC
RNAcentral lists this ribosomal RNA (460 nucleotides) under uncultured bacterium. Its description in RNAcentral is "partial 16S ribosomal RNA". It matches the Rfam family "Bacterial small subunit ribosomal RNA", at positions 338 to 795 of the family's 1533-position model. The record is from RNAcentral.